GAGAGAGGCACGCAGCAACAAAGACUGCUAAUCUUUGCCCCUCAGGUUGGACCCCUGAGCUCACUCG
RNAcentral lists this transfer RNA (67 nucleotides) under Chaetodon modestus (brown banded butterflyfish). RNAcentral describes it as "tRNA-Ser". Lineage: Eukaryota; Metazoa; Chordata; Actinopteri; Chaetodontiformes; Chaetodontidae. The record is from RNAcentral.